Molecule: non-coding RNA, 27 nt
Filed under: Mus musculus (house mouse)
Lineage: Eukaryota; Metazoa; Chordata; Mammalia; Rodentia; Muridae
Source: RNAcentral
UAGAAAGAAGCACAUAAAACCCUGGGC